Molecule: long non-coding RNA, 396 nt
Organism: Pan paniscus (pygmy chimpanzee)
Lineage: Eukaryota; Metazoa; Chordata; Mammalia; Primates; Hominidae
Source: Ensembl
AAGACAUCAAGGGCUUCCUGGCAGAAGAACUGACAGGGAUGUGUGCAGAAGAUCCUUGUAUACACAUCACAGGCAAGUCCCUGUGCUCUGAGACAACGCAGGGAUGACAGAUGUCAAGAACAAAUGUUAAAGGCCUCCAGCUUGACAACUUUCUGCUGUGAACUCUGGAUAACUUCCUCCGAGCUAAAGAGGCCCCACAUUUUCAUUUGCCACCUGCCCCCCUCAGUCCAUACUCGAUACAAAAAAUGUAAGAGGCAGGUGCUUUGUCCAGCUGGGAAGUCAAAAUCAUCCUUAAAGUCUCCACAACACUGGCAUCAUUUUUCUGCAUUUCUGUUGUUUUGCAGAAUUGGCUUUUUCAAAGAAUCCUGCAUUUUUCUAUAAGGACUUUCUGUGGUG